UCCAGCAGUAUCAGUUCCGACACACCAGGGCGAUUUGAACAGUCGCGCACGGGCUCUUCCGUUUGUCUGUUCACAAGCUUGACUCCGAACACUAGCAGGCCUGACCCCAUGGACACAACCCCCAGUGGCUCAACUCCAAGCACCAGCAGAUGUGAACCUUUGAUGGAUUUGAUCAAGCGCAAUGGCGUGGAGAAACUUCUGUGAUCUGCAUGGCUGACUUUUUGUCAUCUACUGUGACCACUGCAAUGUGGAUCUCUCCUCUAGUGAGUAUAUGCACAGUGUGUCAAAAAAGGAGCAGUGUUGUGCUACUGUGUCUCGUGAU
Molecule: long non-coding RNA, 322 nt
Organism: Ornithodoros turicata
Lineage: Eukaryota; Metazoa; Arthropoda; Arachnida; Ixodida; Argasidae
Exons: 4
Source: RefSeq, a predicted model, not a curated record